GGGGAGGAGGAGGAGGAGGAGGAGGAGAGAGGAGGGGUGGAGACAUGAGUACGUUUCUGUAUUUAUGAUACUAUGAAUCACAGUGUUAGUAUCACAGUGACUAGGCCUAAGAUAAGAUGCCAGGUGAAUGAAGAAUCCAGUGGACAUGCACAGAACAUAGAGAGAGAGGAAGUCCUAGAUGAAAAACCUCUAAAACAAACAGACACAUUACAAUAGGUCUUCUUUUACAGACUGUCUUUGACACACAAGGCCAACACAUCCAAUCGGAGAAAGAAAACAAUCUACCAGCAGUUGAUGAGGAUUGGAGGAAUUGGAGGAAUUUAUCAUUAGAUGAGGAUCAACAAGGUCACCGCCUAUGUACGGAUAGCGUGAGACUGGCUCACAAAACGAGGAAGAAUCAGCUGGGUUGUCUUUAUGAAGUAGGAAGAAUCAGCUGGGUUGUCUUUAUGAAGUAGGAGGAAUCAGGUUUGUUGUCUUUAUGUAGUAGGAGGAAUCAGGUGUGUUGUCUUUAUGAAGUAGGAAGAAUCAGGUGUGUUGUCUUUAUGAAGUAGGAGGAAUCAGGUGUGUUGUCUUUAUGAAGUAGGAGGAAUCAGGUGUGUUGUCUUUAUGUAGUAGGAGGAAUCGGGUGUGUUGUCUUUAUGUAGUAGGAGGAAUCAGGUGUGUUGUCUUUAUGAAGUAGGAAGAAUCAGGUGUGUUGUCUUUAUGAAGUAGGAGGAAUCAGGUGUGUUGUCUUUAUGAAGUAGGAAGAAUCAGGUGUGUUGUCUUUAUGAAGUAGGAAGAAUCAGGUGUGUUGUCUUUAUGAAGUAGGAGGAAUCAGGUGUGUUGUCUUUAUGAAGUAGGAAGAAUCAGGUGUGUUGUCUUUAUGAAGUAGGAGGAAUCAGGUGUGUUGUCUUUAUGAAGUAGGAAGAAUCAGGUGUGUUGUCUUUAUGAAGUAGGAGGAAUCAGGUGUGUUGUCUUUAUGAAGUAGAAUGAAUCAGGUGUGUUGUCUUUAUGAAGUAGGAAGAAUCAGGUGUGUUGUCUUUAUGAAGUAGGAAGAAUCAGGUGUGUUGUCUUUAUGAAGUAGGAGGAAUCAGGUGUGUUGUCUUUAUGAAGUAGGAGGAAUCAGGUGUGUUGUCUUUAUGAAGUAGGAGGAAUCAGGUGUGUUGUCUUUAUGUAGUAGGAGGAAUCAGGUGUGUUGUCUUUAUGAAGUAGGAGGAAUCAGGUGUGUUGUCUUUAUGAAGUAGGAGGAAUCAGGUGUGUUGUCUUUAUGUAGUAGGAGGAAUCAGGUGUGUUGUCUUUAUGAAGUAGGAGGAAUCAGGUGUGUUGUCUUUAUGAAGUAGGAGGAAUCAGGUGUGUUGUCUUUAUGAAGUAGGAGGAAUCAGGUGUGUUGUCUUUAUGUAGUAGGAGGAAUCAGGUGUGUUGUCUUUAUGAAGUAGGAGGAAUCAGGUGUGUUGUCUUUAUGAAGUAGGAGGAAUCAGGUGUGUUGUCUUUAUGAAGUAGGAGGAAUCAGGUGUGUUGUCUUUAUGAAGUAGGAGGAAUCAGGUGUGUUGUCUUUAUGUAGUAGGAGGAAUCAGGUGUGUUGUCUUUAUGAAGUAGGAGGAAUCAGGUGUGUUGUCUUUAUGAAGUAGGAGGAAUCAGGUGUGUUGUCUUUAUGAAGUAGGAGGAAUCAGGUGUGUUGUCUUUAUGUAGUAGGAGGAAUCAGGUGUGUUGUCUUUAUGAAGUAGGAGGAAUCAGGUGUGUUGUCUUUAUGUAGUAGGAGGAAUCAGGUGUGUUGUCUUUAUGAAGUAGGAGGAAUCAGGUGUGUUGUCUUUAUGAAGUAGGAGGAAUCAGGUGUGUUGUCUUUAUGAAGUAGGAGGAAUCAGGUGUGUUGUCUUUAUGAAGUAGGAAGA
This is a long non-coding RNA of Oncorhynchus keta (chum salmon), 1868 nucleotides long. RefSeq lists it as uncharacterized. Lineage: Eukaryota; Metazoa; Chordata; Actinopteri; Salmoniformes; Salmonidae. The record is from RefSeq and is a predicted model, not a curated record. The transcript is spliced from 6 exons.